Molecule: ribosomal RNA, 909 nt
Filed under: uncultured bacterium
Lineage: Bacteria
Description: bacterial SSU rRNA
Rfam family: Bacterial small subunit ribosomal RNA
Source: RNAcentral
CGGCUAACUAUGUGCCAGCACCGCCGGUAAUAUGUAGGUGGGCGAGCGUUUUCAUGAUUUUUUGGGGGUAUAGGGGGCGUAGGGGGAUUUUUUUGUGUGAUGUGAAAUAUUCCGGCUCUACCUGGGGGCUGCGUUUCUAUCUGUUUCUCUAGUGUGUGUGGGAGGGGAGGGUAAUUUCUAGUGUAUGGGGUGAAAUAGUGUGUAGAUAUGUGAAGAACCCCAGUGGCGAAGGGAGUUUCUUUGGUCUGUAACUGACGCUGAGGCUGGAAAGCGGGGGGAGCAAACACGAUUAGAUACCCCUGGUAGUCCACGCCGCAAACGAUGAAUACUAGGUGUAGGGGUUGUCAUGACCUCUGUGCCGCCGCUAACGCAUUAAGUAUUCCGCCUGGGGAGUACGGUCGCAAGAUUAAAACUCAAAGGAAUUGACGGGGGCCCGCACAAGCAGCGGAGCAUGUGGUUUAAUUCGAAGCAACGCGAAGAACCUUACCUAGACUUGACAUCUCCUGCAUUACCCUUAAUCGGGGAAGUCGCUUCGGCGACAGGAAGACAGGUGGUGCAUGGUUGUCGUCAGCUCGUGUCGUGAGAUGUUGGGUUAAGUCCCGCAACGAGCGCAACCCUUAUUGUUAGUUGCUACCAUUUAGUUGAGCACUCUAGCGAGACUGCCCGGGUUCACCGGGAGGAAGGUGGGGAUGACGUCAAAUCAUCAUGCCCCUUAUGUCUAGGGCUACACACGUGCUACAAUGGCAAGUACAAAGAGAAGCGAGACCGCGAGGUGGAGCAAAACUCAAAAACUUGUCUCAGUUCGGAUUGUAGGCUGAAACUCGCCUACAUGAAGCUGGAGUUGCUAGUAAUCGCGAAUCAGCAUGUCGCGGUGAAUACGUUCCCGGGCCUUGUACACACCGCCCGUCA